AGAAAGUGGCGAACGGGUGAGUAACGCGUGGGUAAUCUACCCUGUUAAGUGGGGGAUAACCCUCCGAAAGGAGGGCUAAUACCGCAUAAUAUCUUCUCCUCUAAAAGAGGUAAAGAUUAAAGAUGGCCUCUAUACUAUGCUAUCACUUCAGGAUGAGCCCGCGUCCUAUUAGUUAGUUGGUGGGGUAAUGGCCUACCAAGACCACAAUGGGUAGCCGGUCUGAGAGGAUGUACGGCCACACUGGGACUGAGAUACGGCCCAGACUCCUACGGGAGGCAGCAGUGGGGAAUAUUGCGCAAUGGGGGAAACCCUGACGCAGCGACGCCGCGUGGAUGAUGAAGGCCUUCGGGUUGUAAAGUCCUGUUCAGGGGGACGAAACCUUAAGGGUCCAAUAGGCCCUUAAGCUGACGGUACCCCAAGAGAAAGCUCCGGCUAAUUAUGUGCCAGCAGCCGCGGUAAUACAUAAGGAGCAAGCGUUGUCCGGAAUUAUUGGGCGUAAAGAGCUCGUAGGCGGUCUUAAAAGUCAGGUGUAAAAUUAUCAGGCUUAACCUGAUAAGGUCAUCUGAAACUCUAAGACUUGAGGAUAGAAGAGGA
RNAcentral lists this ribosomal RNA (594 nucleotides) under uncultured bacterium. Its description in RNAcentral is "bacterial SSU rRNA". It matches the Rfam family "Bacterial small subunit ribosomal RNA", at positions 90 to 658 of the family's 1533-position model. The record is from RNAcentral.